This 85-nucleotide transfer RNA is filed under the name Felis catus (domestic cat). It matches the Rfam family "tRNA". Rfam says of the family: Transfer RNA (tRNA) molecules are approximately 80 nucleotides in length. The record is from Rfam by way of RNAcentral. Lineage: Eukaryota; Metazoa; Chordata; Mammalia; Carnivora; Felidae.
GCCUGGGUGGCUUAGUCGGUUGAGCGUCUGAUUUCGGCUCAGGUCAUGAUCUCACAGCUCAUGGGUUCAUGCUCCAUGUCGGGCA